Molecule: ribosomal RNA, 409 nt
Filed under: uncultured bacterium
Lineage: Bacteria
Description: bacterial SSU rRNA
Rfam family: Bacterial small subunit ribosomal RNA
Source: RNAcentral
CAGCAGCCGCGGUAAUACGGGGGAGGCAAGCGUUAUCCGGAAUUAUUGGGCGUAAAGCGUCCGCAGGUGGUCAGCCAAGUCUGCUGUCAAAUCAGGUUGCUUAACGACCUAAAGGCGGUGGAAACUGGCAGACUAGAGAGCAGUAGGGGUAGCAGGAAUUCCCAGUGUAGCGGUGAAAUGCGUAGAGAUUGGGAAGAACAUCGGUGGCGAAAGCGUGCUACUGGGCUGUAUCUGACACUCAGGGACGAAAGCUAGGGGAGCGAAAGGGAUUAGAUACCCCUGUAGUCCUAGCCGUAAACGAUGGAUACUAGGCGUGGCUUGUAUCGACCCGAGCCGUGCCGAAGCUAACGCGUUAAGUAUCCCGCCUGGGGAGUACGCACGCAAGUGUGAAACUCAAAGGAAUUGACGG